GAAUGUCAAAUUUCUAGUAUGAGAAAUUAACGAUUUAAGUCCUUCUUAAAUGAGGCCAUUUACCCAUAGAGGGUGCCAGGCCCGUAUAACGUUAAUGAUUACUAGAUGGCAUUUCCAAAGAGUCGUGUUGCUUGAUAGUGCAGCACUAAGUGGGUGGUAAACUCCAUCUAAAACUAAAUAUAACCAUGAGACCGAUAGUAAACAAGUACCGUGAGGGAAAGUUGAAAAGAACUCUGAAUAGAGAGUUAAAUAGUACGUGAAACUGCUUAGAGGUUAAGCCCGAUGAACCUGAAUAUCCAAUAUAGAAAAUUCAUCAUUAUGAUUUUAAUAUUUUCAAUAUUAUAAUAAUGGUGUGCAUUUUUUCUAUAAAGGACAUUGUAAUCUAUUAACAUCAAUAAAAUUUAUCAAAAGAUCGAUUGCACAAGUUUAUUUCAAUUAUUUUGCUUGCAAUUUAACAUAGAAUAAAUGCUUUUGAUUUGAUAAAGUGUUGAUAGAUUUAUAAAAUAUAGUGCUGGAAUAUUUAUAUUCUAUAAUAGCAUAUUAAUUAUUAAUUUUUAUGUUUGUUAUAUGCACUUAUAUGAUUUACAAUGCGAAAGAUUCAGGAUACCUUCGGGACCCGUCUUGAAACACGGACCAAGGAGUCUAACAUAUUUGCAAGUUAUUGGGAAUAAAAACCUAAUAGCGAAAUUAACAUAACUUAUAUAUUAAUGGGAUUAGUUUUUAGCCUUAUAUAUAGUCUAUUAAUUCAAUCCCGGGGCGUUCUAUACAGUUAUGUAUAAUAGUAUUUAUAUUAUUUAUACCUCUAACUAGAACGUACCUUGAGCAUAUAUGCUGUGACCCGAAAGAUGGUGAACUAUACUUGAUCAGGUUGAAGUCAGGGGAAACCCUGAUGGAAGACCGAAACAGUUCUGACGUGCAAAUCGAUUGUCAGAAUUGAGUAUAGGGGCGAAAGACCAAUCGAACCAUCUAGUAGCUGGUUCCCUCCGAAGUUUCCCUCAGGAUAGCUGGUGCAUUUAAAAAUUAUGUAAAAUAAUCUUAUCUGGUAAAGCGAAUGAUUAGAGGCCUUAGGGUCGAAACGAUCUUAACCUAUUCUCAAACUUUAAAUGGGUAAGAACCUCACCUUUCUUGGUAUGAAGGUUGUGGUUGUGAUAUAAUGUGCCCAGUGGGCCACUUUUGGUAAGCAGAACUGGCGCUGUGGGAUGAACCAAACGUAAUGUUACGGUGCCCAAAUUAACAACUCAUGCAGAUACCAUGAAA
This 1257-nucleotide ribosomal RNA is filed under the name Compsiluroides flavipalpis. Its description in RNAcentral is "eukaryotic LSU rRNA". It matches the Rfam family "Eukaryotic large subunit ribosomal RNA", at positions 156 to 1219 of the family's 3401-position model. The record is from RNAcentral. Lineage: Eukaryota; Metazoa; Arthropoda; Insecta; Diptera; Tachinidae.